UACAACUUUCAACAACGGAUCUCUUGGCUCUCGCAUCGAUGAAGAACGCAGCGAAAUGCGAUAAGUAAUGUGAAUUGCAGAAUUCAGUGAAUCAUCGAAUCUUUGAACGCACCUUGCGCCCCUUGGUAUUCCGAGGGGCAUGCCUGUUUGAGUGU
Molecule: ribosomal RNA, 155 nt
Filed under: Inonotus rickii
Lineage: Eukaryota; Fungi; Basidiomycota; Agaricomycetes; Hymenochaetales; Hymenochaetaceae
Description: 5.8S ribosomal RNA
Rfam family: 5.8S ribosomal RNA
About the family: 5.8S ribosomal RNA (5.8S rRNA) is a component of the large subunit of the eukaryotic ribosome.
Source: RNAcentral